GCCGGGGUAGCCUAGCUGGUUAGGGCGCCAGACUCAUGAUCUGGAGAGCGUAAGGGGUCAGAACACACGCCCAGAAGUCGCGGGUUCGAAUCCCGCCCCCGGCA
This 104-nucleotide transfer RNA is filed under the name Candidatus Bathyarchaeota archaeon. RNAcentral describes it as "tRNA-Met". It matches the Rfam family "tRNA". Rfam says of the family: Transfer RNA (tRNA) molecules are approximately 80 nucleotides in length. Their secondary structure includes four short double-helical elements and three loops (D, anti-codon, and T loops). Lineage: Archaea; Thermoproteati; Candidatus Bathyarchaeota. The record is from RNAcentral.